Molecule: ribosomal RNA, 497 nt
Filed under: uncultured bacterium
Lineage: Bacteria
Description: partial 16S ribosomal RNA
Rfam family: Bacterial small subunit ribosomal RNA
Source: RNAcentral
GAUGAACGCUGGCGGCGUGCCUAAUACAUGCAAGGCGAGCGAACAGACGAGGAGCUUGCUCCUCUGAUGUUAGCGGCGGACGGGUGAGUAACACGUGGAGAACCUACCUAUAAGACUUGUAUAACUUCUGGAAACCGGAGCUAAUACCGGAUAAUAUAUUGAACCGCAUGGUUCAAUAGUGAAAGACGGUUUUCCUUUCACUUAUAGAUGGAUCAGCGCCGCAUUACCUAGUGGGUAAGGUAACGGCUUACCAAGGCAACGAUGCGUAGCCGACCUGAGAGCGUGAUUCGCCACAAGGGAUCGGAGACGCGUCACAGGCUUCUCAGGGAGGCAACAGAAGCGAAUAUACGGCCAUGGGCGAAAGCUGGAAGCAGCAAAGAUGUCCGAGUGAUGCAGGUGCUCGGAGCGUCAAGCGGUGUUUGUAGGGAAGAACAUAUCCAUACGUAACUAUGCACUUCUUGACCGUACCCAACCAGGAAGCCACGGCUAACUACGUG